UUCAUUCUUCUUUUGUUGGAUCUUCUUCACAGCUUCCAAUUCUUCUUGAUGCUUCCUUUGCAUCUCUUCAAGUGCUCUAUCUUGUGCUUCAAAUCUCACAGCUAACUCCCCCCAAUGCCUAUAAACUGAGGAAACAUAACAGCGUGUUGCAUCUUAAUGAGAUGAAAACAUACAAGAUAAAAACGUAUAACAGUACCACUAAGAAGCACAUAAUUUAUCAAAUUAUGAAUCUGAGUACGUUAUUAACUAGAUUUUCGGGUAUGCAGAUGGGCCAAUAAAACGGUAUAUUAGUUUGGCAAAACAAGAAGACACAAACUUGUAUAAAAAUUGUCAGUCAAAAAAAUUUACAUCGAUCCCUGCUGCACUUUUAACUAGUGUGCUACUUAAAGUUCUAAGUAGCAUGUGAAUGACUAGUGAGUCUAGUAGGGCAGCAUAUGACAAUGAACUAUAGUAAUCUACUGAACAUAUUUCAUAAUUAGUUGCAUAAGUAUAGUUGUUUGACGCUUUGGUUACUACAAAAGUUUAGAUCAGCACAUCACUACAAAAACAGAUUGAUAAUGUACUAAAAAAUUGCAGAUCAAAACACAAAAAUGUUUCUUUAGUGAGAAGUGACAGCCAUUCAUCCAUUCAAUGUACUGAACAAUCUCAGAAUAAUGCAAUAUCUGGAGGUCAUCACCCAACCACUACAUGCCACAUUAUUCCUAUUAACUGUAUGUUUUCUCAUCUCUGAAUUGAUUCAGACAUGCUAUGAAUUUGGCCGUUCAUCACCUUAUGUACAACUACGUGCCAUAAGAAACUAGUACUAGUACUAUCUACACUAUUUUAAUCAGUUGUGUGCUUACUCACCUUCCCCAACAGCUACAGCUAAUUGUGUACGUGCACUGGAGUCGUACGAUGCUUACUCAAUAUAAAUAUAACAAAUAAAAAUACAAGUUAAGCAUAAGGAAGGACACGAUGAGCUUAAAUGCUAGGCAUACACAACCAGGUAAGGAAUUAUCAAGUACUUGACUGUAAGAAAACAGAAAGUGGAGAGUUAGUAAAAAGUUUAAGCUUCAGACUUUACCAACAUAGCAAGGUCGAUAAGAUUAUCUUGAUAUUGCAAACCCAGUCCUGCUACCUAUGGUGAGCAGUCGAUUAAUGCGCCUGCGUUAUAGGGGAAUAAAACAGAAGAGACAUAGUAUACUGACAAGUGUUCACAUGGAGAAAAAAUAUUACAGAAUAACAUAAUCAUUUUCUGUUCCACCAAGCAGUAUUAGCAUCUGAAUGAACCUUUUAGUAUAUAGAUUUUUCAGCAGCUAGUAACUAUGGUAUGGCCCAUGAUACAAGCCCUCGGCUAUUCCUAGUAUAGUUGCAUUGUUAAUACUCUGAACGUAGAGUCUAGUCACAUAUUAGAUGUUCUUGAGCAUGCUGGAGAUUGCAUAAUAUUGCAGCUUAAAGGGGAAACUUGAGUUGAAAUUAUUCAUUGUAGAAAUUUAGAGACAGCUCGGAACAAAGAAGUAUGAACCAUACCUUUGAUAAGACCAAAGGACAUUGAUCUUACUCCUGAUCUAGAUGAACUGCAACUAGGAAAAGGAGAUCUCAAAUAAGUGGUUAGAAGAGUCAAAUUCCAGAUCACAAAUCUUACAUCAGGAAAUUAUGGAAGAAAAAGGAACCAGCGAAAUAUUACCCUCGAGUAUUUGAAAGGGGGCAGAUCUAAUGGUGCUGUAGCCGGGUUCCUUGCAGAGUUUCCAACCCAUCCCCCUAGCCUAUCUGCAUCAUCGGGUUACCUCUCCCAAACCUGGUGUCUCCCGCCGCCGCCGUCUUGUUGGUCGCUGGACGAAACCAAUCUUCUAAAUCACCAUCUACAUCUCAAGUAGUGGGCGAUGGAGGGGUGGUGAGGCAGCGUCCAGAUCUUGGUGAGGCACGCGGUGAGAAACGAAGACGGGGAAGGCGCCAGAGAUGGAUGGGGCGAUGGUUGACAAGCCAUCCAUGAAGUGGCGGUGGAGGUAGCAUGGAGGUCGGACCAGGCAGCAAACAGGGCACGUCGGCAUCGGGGCGCAGCUGGCGGCGAGUGAUUUGGAGGCGCCGCCGGUGAGAUGAGAUUUGAGUCAGGUGCGAGUUGGUACAGGUGUAUCUGUUGG
Molecule: long non-coding RNA, 2120 nt
Filed under: Triticum aestivum (bread wheat)
Lineage: Eukaryota; Viridiplantae; Streptophyta; Magnoliopsida; Poales; Poaceae
Description: long non-coding RNA (TAES_LNC003801)
Source: RNAcentral